CCACCGCGGUUAUACGAAAGACCCUAGUUGAUAAGUGUGGCGUAAAGGGUGGUUAAGGUAAAAUAUUGAAUAAAGCUAAAGACCCUCUAAGCCGUCAUACGCACUCCGAGGACACGAAACCCAAACACGAAAGUAGCUUUAAAUAAACUAACCUGACCCCACGAAAGCUAAGAAACAAACUGGGAUUAGAUACCCCACUAUGCUUAGCCAUAAACCUAGAUGUAACAUUACACACGCAUCCGCCCGGGUACUACGAGCACAGCUUAAAACCCAAAGGACUUGGCGGUGUCUCAGACCCACCUAGAGGAGCCUGUUCUAGAACCGAUAACCCCCGUUAAACCUCACCACUUCUUGUUUUCCCCGCCUAUAUACCGCCGUCGUCAGCUUACCCUGUGAAGGUCUAAUAGUAAGCAAAAUGGGCCCGCCCAAAAACGUCAGGUCGAGGUGUAGCGUACGAAGUGGAAAGAAAUGGGCUACAUUUUCUAUAUACAGAAUAUUACGAACGGUGCAUUGAAAUCAUGCACCCGAAGGUGGAUUUAGUAGUAAAAAGCAAACAGAGUGUCCCUUUGAACUAGGCUCUGAGACGCGCACACACCGCCCGUCACUCUCCCCAACACCCCACCAAACCGAUAUAUAAUAAAUCAACUGUAAACACGGGGAGGCAAGUCGUAACAUG
This 676-nucleotide ribosomal RNA is filed under the name Mystus atrifasciatus. RNAcentral describes it as "partial 12S ribosomal RNA". It matches the Rfam family "Bacterial small subunit ribosomal RNA", at positions 512 to 1495 of the family's 1533-position model. Lineage: Eukaryota; Metazoa; Chordata; Actinopteri; Siluriformes; Bagridae. The record is from RNAcentral.